UUAAGUUCAGCGGGUAGUCCUACCUGAUUUGAGGUCAAAUUGAUCAAAUUGUCCCGUGAAGGACGGUUAGAAGCCAGACAACCCGAGCUACACAGUGACGACAUUAUCACACCGCAUAUAUGCUGCGAAUCAAAUUCCAGCUAAUACAUUCAAGGGAAGCCGGCGUGAACCAGCAGUCCCCAAGUCCAAGCUCACCUUUC
RNAcentral lists this unclassified non-coding RNA (200 nucleotides) under Xylodon sp. RNAcentral's name for it is "partial internal transcribed spacer 2". Lineage: Eukaryota; Fungi; Basidiomycota; Agaricomycetes; Hymenochaetales; Schizoporaceae. The record is from RNAcentral.